CUCUUGUGGCUUCCAUGCAGAAGUGCACGGAAACAGCUAUUUGCUAUUGAAAAGUUGGCUGUUACUGUUCUUCUGAUGGAUGCUGCUGGAUU
Molecule: microRNA precursor, 92 nt
Organism: Accipiter nisus (Eurasian sparrowhawk)
Lineage: Eukaryota; Metazoa; Chordata; Aves; Accipitriformes; Accipitridae
Source: Ensembl